RNAcentral lists this ribosomal RNA (702 nucleotides) under uncultured bacterium. RNAcentral describes it as "bacterial SSU rRNA". It matches the Rfam family "Bacterial small subunit ribosomal RNA", at positions 739 to 1459 of the family's 1533-position model. The record is from RNAcentral.
ACUGACGCUGAUGGACGAAAGCGUGGGGAGCGAACAGGAUUAGAUACCCUGGUAGUCCACGCCGUAAACGAUGCUAACUCGUUUCUGGUUUUUCGGAAUCAGAGACUAAGCGAAAGUGAUAAGUUAGCCACCUGGGGAGUACGAACGCAAGUUUGAAACUCAAAGGAAUUGACGGGGGCCCGCACAAGCGGUGGAUUAUGUGGUUUAAUUCGAUGAUACGCGAGGAACCUUACCAAGACUUAAAUGGGAAUUGACAGAUUUAGAAAUAGAUCCUCCUUCGGGCAAUUUUCAAGGUGCUGCAUGGUUGUCGUCAGCUCGUGCCGUGAGGUGUUAGGUUAAGUCCUGCAACGAGCGCAACCCCUGUCACUAGUUGCCAUCAUUCAGUUGGGGACUCUAGUGAGACUGCCUACGCAAGUAGAGAGGAAGGUGGGGAUGACGUCAAAUCAUCACGGCCCUUACGUCUUGGGCCACACACGUAAUACAAUGGCCGGUACAGAGGGCAGCUACACAGCGAUGUGAUGCAAAUCUCGAAAGCCGGUCUCAGUUCGGAUUGGAGUCUGCAACUCGACUCUAUGAAGCUGGAAUCGCUAGUAAUCGCGCAUCAGCCAUGGCGCGGUGAAUACGUUCCCGGGCCUUGUACACACCGCCCGUCAAGCCAUGGAGUCUGGGUACCUGAAGUCGGGACCGAACAGGAGCUGCCUA